UUAGGAAUCUUGCGCAAUGGGCGAAAGCCUGACGCAGCGACGCCGCGUGACUGAUGAAGUCUCUCGGGAUGUAAAGGUCUUUUCUGGAGGAAGAAAAAAAUGACGGUACUCCAGGAAUAAGCCCCGGCUAACUACGUGCCAGCAGCCGCGGUAAUACGUAGGGGGCGAGCGUUGUCCGAAUUUACUGGGCGUAAAGCGCGCGUAGGCGGACUAUUAAGUUGGUGGUGAAAUCCCGAGGCUCAACCUCGGAACUGCCUCCAAAACUGUUAGUCUUGAGGUAUGGAGAGGAAAGUGGAAUUCCUGGUGUAGCGGUGAAAUGCGUAGAGAUCAGGAGGAAUACCAAAGGCGAAGGCAGUCUUCUAAGCCGAUAUUGACGCUAAACUGCGAAGGUGUGGGUAUCAAACA
RNAcentral lists this ribosomal RNA (405 nucleotides) under uncultured prokaryote. RNAcentral describes it as "bacterial SSU rRNA". It matches the Rfam family "Bacterial small subunit ribosomal RNA", at positions 355 to 774 of the family's 1533-position model. The record is from RNAcentral.